AAAAAAGGUAAGCUACUAAGAGCGAAUGGUGGAUGCCUUGACUGGUAAAGGCGAUGAAGGACGUACUAGACUGCGAUAAGCUACGGGGAGCUGUCAAGAAGCUUUGAUCCGUAGAUUUCCGAAUGGGGCAACCCAAUGUAUAGAGAUAUACAUUACCUAUAUAGGAGCGAACGAGGGGAAUUGAAACAUCUUAGUACCCUCAGGAAAAGAAAUCAAUAGAGAUUGCGUCAGUAGCGGCGAGCGAAAGCGCAAGAGGGCAAACCCAGUGCUUGCACUGGGGGUUGUAGGACUGCAAUGUGCAAGAGGUAAGUUUAGCAGAACAUUCUGGAAAGUAUAACCAUAGAGGGUGAUAGUCCCGUAUGCGAAAAACAAACCUUAGCUAGCAGUAUCCUGAGUAGGGCGGGACACGAGGAAUCCUGUCUGAAUCCGGGUCGACCACGAUCCAACCCUAAAUACUAAUACCAGAUCGAUAGUGCACAAGUACCGUGAGGGAAAGGUGAAAAGAACUGAGGUGAUCAGAGUGAAAUAGAACCUGAAACCAUUUGCUUACAAUCAUUCAGAGCCCUAUGUAGCAAUACAGGGUGAUGGACUGCCUUUUGCAUAAUGAGCCUGCGAGUUGUGGUGUCUGGCAAGGUUAAGCAAACGCGAAGCCGUAGCGAAAGCGAGUCUGAAUAGGGCGCUUAGUCAGAUGCUGCAGACCCGAAACGAAGUGAUCUAUCCAUGAGCAAGUUGAAGCUAGUGUAAGAACUAGUGGAGGACUGAACCCAUAGGCGUUGAAAAGCCCCGGGAUGACUUGUGGAUAGGGGUGAAAGGCCAAUCAAACUUCGUGAUAGCUGGUUCUCUCCGAAAUAUAUUUAGGUAUAGCGUUGUGUCGUAAUAUAAGGGGGUAGAGCACUGAAUGGGCUAGGGCAUACACCAAUGUACCAAACCCUAUCAAACUCCGAAUACCUUAUAUGUAAUCACAGCAGUCAGGCGGCGAGUGAUAAAAUCCGUCGUCAAGAGGGAAACAACCCAGACUACCAGCUAAGGUCCCUAAAUCUUACUUAAGUGGAAAACGAUGUGAAGUUACUUAAACAACCAGGAGGUUGGCUUAGAAGCAGCCAUCCUUUAAAGAAAGCGUAAUAGCUCACUGGUCUAGUGAUUUUGCGCGGAAAAUAUAACGGGGCUAAAGUAAGUACCGAAGCUGUAGACUUAGUUUACUAAGUGGUAGGAGAGCGUUCUAUUUGCGUCGAAGGUAUACCGGUAAGGAGUGCUGGAGCGAAUAGAAGUGAGCAUGCAGGCAUGAGUAGCGAUAAUUAAUGUGAGAAUCAUUAACGCCGUAAACCCAAGGUUUCCUACGCGAUGCUCGUCAUCGUAGGGUUAGUCGGGUCCUAAGUCGAGUCCGAAAGGGGUAGACGAUGGCAAAUUGGUUAAUAUUCCAAUACCAACAUUAGUGUGCGAUGGAAGGACGCUUAGGGCUAAGGGGGCUAGCGGAUGGAAGUGCUAGUCUAAGGUCGUAGGAGGUUAACAGGCAAAUCCGUAUAACAAUACUCCGAGAACUGAAAGGCUUUUUGAAGUCUUCGGAUGGAUAGAAGAACCCCUGAUGCCGUCGAGCCAAGAAAAGUUUCUAAGUUUAGCUAAUGUUGCCCGUACCGUAAACCGACACAGGUGGGUGGGAUGAGUAUUCUAAGGCGCGUGGAAGAACUCUCUUUAAGGAACUCUGCAAAAUAGCACCGUAUCUUCGGUAUAAGGUGUGGUUAGCUUUGUAUUAGGAUUUACUCCGAAAGCAAGGAAACUUACAACAAAGAGUCCCUCCCGACUGUUUACCAAAAACACAGCACUCUGCUAACUCGUAAGAGGAUGUAUAGGGUGUGACGCCUGCCCGGUGCUCGAAGGUUAAUUGAUGGGGUUAGCAUUAGCGAAGCUCUUGAUCGAAGCCCGAGUAAACGGCGGCCGUAACUAUAACGGUCCUAAGGUAGCGAAAUUCCUUGUCGGUUAAAUACCGACCUGCAUGAAUGGCGUAACGAGAUGGGAGCUGUCUCAAAGAGGGAUCCAGUGAAAUUGUAGUGGAGGUGAAAAUUCCUCCUACCCGCGGCAAGACGGAAAGACCCCGUGGACCUUUACUACAGCUUGACACUGCUACUUGGAUAAGAAUGUGCAGGAUAGGUGGGAGGCUUUGAGUAUAUGACGCCAGUUGUAUAUGAGCCAUUGUUGAGAUACCACUCUUUCUUAUUUGGGUAGCUAACCAGCUUGAGUUAUCCUCAAGUGGGACAAUGUCUGGUGGGUAGUUUGACUGGGGCGGUCGCCUCCCAAAUAAUAACGGAGGCUUACAAAGGUUGGCUCAGAACGGUUGGAAAUCGUUCGUAGAGUAUAAAGGUAUAAGCCAGCUUAACUGCAAGACAUACAAGUCAAGCAGAGACGAAAGUCGGUCUUAGUGAUCCGGUGGUUCUGUGUGGAAGGGCCAUCGCUCAAAGGAUAAAAGGUACCCCGGGGAUAACAGGCUGAUCUCCCCCAAGAGCUCACAUCGACGGGGAGGUUUGGCACCUCGAUGUCGGCUCAUCGCAUCCUGGGGCUGGAGCAGGUCCCAAGGGUAUGGCUGUUCGCCAUUUAAAGCGGUACGCGAGCUGGGUUCAGAACGUCGUGAGACAGUUCGGUCCCUAUCUGCCGUGGGCGUAAGAAGAUUGAAGAGAUUUGACCCUAGUACGAGAGGACCGGGUUGAACAAACCACUGGUGUAGCUGUUGUUCUGCCAAGAGCAUCGCAGCGUAGCUAAGUUUGGAAAGGAUAAACGCUGAAAGCAUCUAAGCGUGAAGCCAACUCUAAGAUGAAUCUUCUCUAAGCUCUCUAGAAGACUACUAGUUUGAUAGGCUGGGUGUGUAAUGGAUGAAAGUCCUUUAGCUGACCAGUACUAAUAGAGCGUUUGGCUUAUCUUUAAUAAAGCAU
RNAcentral lists this ribosomal RNA (2921 nucleotides) under Campylobacter jejuni. RNAcentral's name for it is "23S ribosomal RNA". It matches the Rfam family "Bacterial large subunit ribosomal RNA". The record is from RNAcentral. Lineage: Bacteria; Pseudomonadati; Campylobacterota; Epsilonproteobacteria; Campylobacterales; Campylobacteraceae.